Molecule: long non-coding RNA, 5437 nt
Organism: Symphalangus syndactylus (siamang)
Lineage: Eukaryota; Metazoa; Chordata; Mammalia; Primates; Hylobatidae
Source: RefSeq, a predicted model, not a curated record
AUCUAAAAUGGUUUCUCAUAACUCCAAGUCCUAUUUUUAACUAAUGAAUCUAGAAGACACUGGAAUUAGUUCAUGUCUAUCAAAGUGGUCAAGUCUUGAAUCAACAUUGGGACACAUGAUCUGACAGUUUCUUAAAUGCUCAUUAAAGAGAUGGGACUAUUUGGAAUCAAGGUGCCCCACAAAUCUAAACAAGACCCACACAUCUAAGGAUGCAGGGGAGCACAGGUGCUCCCCUUAGGGAAGAUGACAGCAGCACUGGGGACGUGGACAGUAACCCUUAAGACGGUGGGCCUGUGUCACCCAAAGUUGCCACCUCUAAAGUGCCCAUAAUAAAGGUGGCAAGAGGGACAUCUCAGAGGGAGAUCUCAGACAUUCUACUGAGUAUAAUAUUCCAUCCAGCCCGACUUUGCUUCCCUGAAGCUGAAUUCAUUCUGCUUUUAAGAAAUGGAUAUUGUCGCCGGCCCGGGGGUCUCACACAUGUAACCCCAACACUUUGGGAAGCCGAGGCAAGAGAGAGGAUCACUUGAGCCCAGGACUGUGAGGCCUGCCUGGGUAACACAGUAAGAUCCUGUCUCUACAAAAAAUUAAAAAUUAGCUGGGUGUAGUGACACGAGACUGUAGCCCCAGCUACUUGGGAGGCUGAGGUGGGAGGAUCCCUUGAGCCCAGCAGGUUGAGGCUGCAGUGAGCCAUGAUCAUGCCACUGGGUGACAGAGCAAGACCUUUUCUCCAAAUUAAGAAAAAAGAAAAAGAAAAGAAAUGGAGGGGCUGAAUUAUGCAGGUAAACAAAAAAGCCCUUCUGUGGCCUCCUCUCCACCUUCAUCCUCUUCUCCUCUAGCCAGAGACACAUCCAUGGGCCCCAUUCCCCCAAGCACCAGUCACCACCAACUUCUUACCCCCAAGAAAGAGAACAGCCUCAGGGGACCCCUGUGCCUCAGCACUCUCUCUGGGCCUCUGCAAUCUCACACAACUUUGUAGCUCUCGCGGGGCCUAGAGCCAAGGGACCUGGUUGGGAUCAGUGCCCACCCUUCUGCAAGGCUGGCCCUGACCUUAGGCCAAGUCCCAGCACUGGGUGGCAAUGUAGCACUGUGGGUAGCACCCAGGCCUCCAAGCAGCAGACAGACCACUGCUGGCAAGGGAUCUGGGUGCGUUUAUUACCAAAGCCUUGGUUUCCUAGCUUGACAAGUAAACACCCCAACAGAGAAGCUACUUUGUAGUGUUGCUGGACACAUUAAUGCAUUAGUGCUAUGUGCCUGGUCGUGCUUUAAAGACAUUGAAACAUCCAAUUCAUAAUAUCCAGAUGAGGUCGGUACUGCUGUCGUUUCCCUUUUACAGAUAGAGAGAGGGUAUCACAGAGAGGUUAAGAGAUGUGCCUAAGGCCACACAAGUGGUAAAUGUUAGAACCAGGAUUCCAGCCCAGGGAGUCUGGCUCCAGAGUGCAAGCUAGUCUUACUAUGCAAAUGAGUGUCUUUACAAUGCAUGUAAAGUUCUCAACGCAAUGCCAGGAACAUAUUAAAAGCUCAAUAAAUAGUAGCUGAUGCUCUUGGUUGCUGGGAUGCCUCAGGAAAGCAGACGGCGGCCACCCUGUGCUCUGUGUACAAACCUCAUCUCCCUCCUACACCAACAGCCUUAUGAGUCAGGAGUGUGCCUGUCUCGUCCACCUUUGCAGUCCCCAGCAUCAUGCCUUGUGGCUCUCUGAAAACCUGCUGGAUGUAUAGUAAGAUGACACCCAUUUAUCAAGCACCCACUGUGUGCCUUAUCUCAUUCAACCCUCCCACCGCCUCAUGGGCAAGCUGGGCAUUUCGGCAUCUCGGCAAAGGGACACCGCCACUCCACCAGUGUGGGGUGAACAGUGGAUAGAAAGAGAUGGACUCGCCAGGCAAUAGAGACUGCCCUGGAGUAGACUUCAAAUGAAACAGAGAUUAUUUAUUCCAUGUAUUGGUUACUUUAUGUGGUGCUUACACAACUCUGCUCUUCUUCACUUUCUAUUCCAAAACAUUUCCGGUAAGUAUUUUCCAUGGAUGGUGAUUCCAACUAAAGGAAAGAGAGAAAAGUACACUGAUGCUGACCAAGACCUUGAGGGGACUAAGAGGGAAAAUGAGAGCAUCACAUAAUGAGAGCUGACGUCAAGGCUGGCCGACUCAAGAAACGGUCUCAAAACCGUACAAUGUAGGAAACAGAAUCAUCACAAAGAAAAACAACAUGAUCUUGGAACAGUGGCAACCUCAAAGCACAUCUCUACGUCUUGAUAAGAAAAAAGAAGAGACGUAGAAAAUCCCCCAGAACCAGACUCCAGUUUGGCUUACGGUCUGUCAUAACAUCACAGGCACCAGGAGUGGGCUCUUUGGUGAUGAGAGCAGAACUGAGAAUGGAAAUGGAAAUCAAACACACAGCCCCAGUCAGGUCCCAGGUCAGCUGACCUGCUCCUGAUGUCUGCUGGGCUCAGGCCAGGAUAUCAGCGGAGGCCCCGGUCUGCGGCCUAUUCCCCUUCUCUCGCCAUCCCCAUCUGGUCAUGGUAACAAGGGGCCUCGCACAUGAGUGUGGACACCCCGGGCUGCAUGUUUUGAGCUCCAGCCAUGUCCACGUCUCAGUCACAGCUGGCCAUUCUCAGCCGAGGCAUGGGCACACAAGUGGCCCUAGGGAAGAUGAACUCAGUGCAGGCCCUGGCAGCUAGCAAAGGGGCAUUUGGGCAGAGAAUUAUAGAAAAGGAAGGAUCUGGGGGUCCAGGGGAUAUGUCCCUUUGCCCUGCAGACCUCUUUCCCCAUUAGGGAGCCACAGACAGAGUGGGUGCCUCUUGGAACAUAUGACCGUGUCUCUUUGGCCCAGAGAUGACAUCCUAUGCUAUCCCAAGUGUGAGCUGUUUUGGUCUCAAAAGAAAAGUCCCCUUGUCUUCCCUUCAGGGAAAAGUGCUAAAGAGGGCAGGAGACUGGUGGUUUGAGACCUGCCCCUUAGAAACCAUGUGACCCUGUGCCAUGACUGACCUUCCUAGACCCAGCCCUGUGUGUACAAAAUGAACACACCUACCUCACCACCUUGUUGGCAGGACUCAAAGGAUGACAAAGUGCCAGGCAAAUCGAUGUUUUCUUAUGGAGAGCCAGGGAGGUGAAUAUGAUUCGGGGGAAACAGCCUUGAACCUAUGGAAAUGACCAGUCUGUUCCAGGAAUAAUACCUACCUAAAGGAUGCUGUUAAGGACUGAAUAAGGAAGUGUGUACACAAAGGCACCUGGCACCCAGGAAGAACUCAAAAACUAUUCAUGGUGGAGGUGGUGGUGCUGGUGGCGACCAUUCCUAGUGGUGCUGGUGGUGCCAGGCACCUGCAGCAGAUAUUUGGCUAAAUUACGUAAUUUAAUGAUCACAAUAACCAAAGAGGUGUGUUCCUGUAGCGCAGAUGGAAAAAGUGGGGCCAAGAUCACAGGGUUCGUGAGUGAGCAGUGAGGCCAGGAAACACAUGCCUGUCUGUCUGCAUCCGAUUUCCUCUUCCCACCACACUCAGCACCACCUGGCUGGUUGUCUUGCAGACUCUGGGGAUAAUUCAUUCACAACACUCUCACCUGCUCACAGCAGGAAGCCUGUUCACAGCACCCCAGGCCAGAUCAGCCAUUGAGACACUUAUACUAGAGCCUGCGGGCCACCGGAUUUGCCAACAGACACACAAGAGUUCCUUGUGUUCCCAUCCACAUCAACUCGGCUCAUCACAAAACCCAUCCCAGGGAAAAUGAGCUUGCUGAUAAACCAACUAAGCGUUACAAGAAAUAACAGCAAAUUUUGAGGCACUUUACAAGGAGAGUCACACCCAGGUACUUGUUGGACCCAAGAAGACUCAGGUAGCAAGGCAGGGAGCGGCUCAGGACAGCCGCCCGGAACAGUCACAUCUAUUUGGUUCUCGAAAAUAAUGGAAAACAAACUCGGUUUUCGCAAGUGGUAUGCUGUGUACACUGAGUCCACAUCAGGUGUUCUUGAAUUCUCUGAUAAAUAAAAACCACAAGCAAUUGUGGCACCACCAGGCUGGAGGGAAGCGCCGGUUUGCAUCUGUCAAUAUGAGCAGCCUGGGGGCCUUAUGGGGCAGACCCUCUUCCUGAACUAGUGGUGUUGGAGUGAACACCUUCCAGGUCCCCAGGGCUCGCCCCUCACCCUGAAAAGAUUAAAUCAUUUAUUUGCAUAAGAAAAUAUCUAACCCAAAUACAGGAGGCACAGGCGGGCACAGGGAGCUGUGGUUACAAUGCAAGCAACAUCUGGACCUGCAAACUCAUGAUGCUGCUACAAGAAGCGCAUGCAAGGAAGAAACUGGCAACACCAAGGUGCCAAUGUUUUUUGAGACGGAGUUUCGCUCUUGUUGCCCAGGGUGGAGUACAGUGGCGUGACCUCAGCUCACUGCAACCUUCACCUCCCAGGUUCAGGUGUUCCACGGCACAGCAGGGGAGACAGAUUUUGUAGAAGAGGUCAAGGUGAGGAUGGAGCCUCAACAGAAUCUUCAAAACCAAAAGGCAAGUUGCAGUACCAGCUGACCCUCCGCCAUACAGAGGCCACUGCGGACGCCGAAACACCCUCCUCCCCAUCAGGCUGGCUUGUCCCCGGGGCAUCUGAACAAGCCAACCUGACAGGAUGGGUGCUCAGUGGAGGACACUCUCCGAGAAGACUGAGAUGAUGGGGAAACCCACUCUCCAGGGCUGGCUUGCCGCGCAGUUGUUUGGAGAAAGAGCUACCCUGGAGAACCUUAGUCACUGCUACGGUUGCAGAGAAGACGGAGCACAGGAGUAGCUCCUCAAGGAGGAGGGACACAGACCACACCCCCAACUUAUUGGUGACCUCCAAGGGAACCAGCUGGAACGGCAGCAAAUGGGCAUUUCCCCAGCUUUUUCUCACCUCGCUGUGAACCCAGCCCAGAUGCAUCCCACGCUUACUCACAGAAAGAGUAAAGCAAGCCAGCCAGUCACCUCUAGCCUGGGAACACCACUAAUUGGGAGGCCUCAAUCAACCUGAGAAGUCAGCCCAAGGCCCUGUCUCCAGAAGCCAGCAGCAGAUCUCUGGGUCAUGUCACAGGCGAGUCCUCACUUCACCAGCUCAGAGGUGAGCCACUCUCACCUGAACCUCUGCUUCCGGCAGGGACCUCCUGGGUCCUGUGGCGUCUCCUGGGUCCAGGCGGGUUUCUAGUCCAGCCCAGUCUAGACUGACUUCAAAUAUAGUAUCCCUGACAGUGUGCUUUUUUCCAGCCAGCCAAAUCACCGUUCAUUUUUAAAAUGGUUUUUAAAAAUUACAUUUCUAAGGCAAACAAUGUAGAACUGUGAUAGAGCAGAGGAACAACAAAAAAGCAAAGAAUGUUGCUAAUCACAGGCUGCCUAGCACUUUCCUUUCCCUUCAGAGAAGGAGAAACUGUUUUAUAGGUAUCACACAUGUGCCCACGCAUGCACGUGCACGUGCGCGCGCACACGCACACACACA